CAGCAGCCGCGGGAAUACGAAGGGGGCUAGCGUUGUUCGGAUUUACUGGGCGUAAAGCGCACGUAGGCGGACGCUUAAGUCAGGGGUGAAAUCCCAGAGCUCAACUCUGGAACUGCCUUUGAUACUGUCGAUCUGGAGUAUGGAAGAGGUGAGUGGAAUUCCGAGUGUAGAGGUGAAAUUCGUAGAUAUUCGGAGGAACACCAGUGGCGAAGGCGGCUCACUGGUCCAUUACUGACGCUGAGGUGCGAAAGCGUGGGGAGCAAACAGGAUUAGAUACCCCCGUAGUCCCUGUCUCUUAUAC
This 301-nucleotide ribosomal RNA is filed under the name uncultured bacterium. RNAcentral describes it as "partial 16S ribosomal RNA". It matches the Rfam family "Bacterial small subunit ribosomal RNA", at positions 509 to 807 of the family's 1533-position model. The record is from RNAcentral.